This is a small nucleolar RNA of Diospyros lotus (date-plum), 114 nucleotides long. RefSeq annotates it as small nucleolar RNA Z152/R70/R12. The transcript has a single exon. NCBI's taxonomy places the organism in Eukaryota, Viridiplantae, Streptophyta, Magnoliopsida, Ericales, Ebenaceae. The record is from RefSeq and is a predicted model, not a curated record.
GAUGCUGUGAUGAGGUGAGGCACCGAAUGGUGUCCUUUGGGCAGUGGAAGAUGCACUGGAUUGUGCCUCCCGUGAGCCCUUUUCAAUUAACGACUUCUCCUUCCACUGAGCAUC